Molecule: long non-coding RNA, 690 nt
Filed under: Rattus norvegicus (Norway rat)
Lineage: Eukaryota; Metazoa; Chordata; Mammalia; Rodentia; Muridae
Description: long non-coding RNA NONRATT017951
Source: RNAcentral
GGAUGGAAGGGGGCAAAUUUAAGACCCACACUGCAACUUUGCACAAGAAAAAGAAAUGGUCUUCUGUGUCUGAAAAAAGACUUCAAAAAUGGCCCUCUCAACACUUGGAGAGUGAACAGCCUCAGGUAUCUGUGCGGAAGAAGAGGAGGAGGGAGUCGCAGACACCAGCCCAGGAGAGCUUAGAAAGUGAACAGCCUUGGAAAGCCAAGAAGAAGAAGAAGAGGAGGAGGGAGUCCCAGACACCAGCCCAGGAAAGCUUGGAGAGUGAGCAGACUCCAAUGUCUAUGCUAGGGAAAAGGAGGAGGGAGUCCCAGACACCAGCCCAGGAGAACUUGGAAAGUGAACAGCCUUGGAAAGCCAAGAAGAAGAAGAGGAGGAGGGAGUACCAGACACCAGCUGAGGAGAGCUUAGAGAGUGAGCAACCUUGGAAAGCCAAGAGAAAGAAGAAGAAGGAGAAGGAGUCCCAGCAGCUUACUUCUUCCCUUCUGAAAAAUUCAGAGACCUUCCAUAAAGCUAAAAAAACCACUGCUGCCCACAAAAAGAAAAAGAAUAGUGUUUGGGAGGUGGAUAUGGAAACUGGGAUCAUUCUUGUGGAUAAAGAAAACAUGGAGAACCUGCUAGAGACUUCUAGAAAGGAUGUGGAUAUUGUUUAUGUUGAUAUGAGCAAGGGACAAAGGUCAGCAAAAGUGA